GGAAUAAGAGGUUACUAACUCUGUGCCAGCAGUAGCGGUAAUACAGAGACCUCAAGCGUUAUCCGGAUUUAUUGGGCGUAAAGCGCAUGUAGGCGGAUAUAUUAGUCAGAUGUCAAAUCUUCGAGCUCAACUCGAAAACUGCGUUUGAAACGGUAUAUCUUGAGAAAGUGAGAGAUCAAUGGAACAUAUGGUGUAGCAGUGAAAUGCGUUGAUAUCAUAUGGAACACCAAAGGCGAAGGCAUUUGAUUGGCACUUUUCUGACGCUGAGAUGCGAAAGCGUGGGUAGCGAAUGGGAUUAGAUACCCCAGUAGUCCACGCCCUAAACGAUGCAGACUAGGUAUUAGGAGAAUCGACCCUCCUAGUGUCGUAGCUAACGCGUUAAGUCUGCCGCCUGGGAAGUACGAGCGCAAG
Molecule: ribosomal RNA, 411 nt
Filed under: uncultured bacterium
Lineage: Bacteria
Description: bacterial SSU rRNA
Rfam family: Bacterial small subunit ribosomal RNA
Source: RNAcentral